RNAcentral lists this non-coding RNA (25 nucleotides) under Cricetulus griseus (Chinese hamster). Lineage: Eukaryota; Metazoa; Chordata; Mammalia; Rodentia; Cricetidae. The record is from RNAcentral.
ACCUCUGCAGUUGAGUUGGUUUUGU